This is a non-coding RNA of Penaeus vannamei (Pacific white shrimp), 1248 nucleotides long. The record is from RefSeq and is a predicted model, not a curated record. Lineage: Eukaryota; Metazoa; Arthropoda; Malacostraca; Decapoda; Penaeidae.
UUACUAAAAUUACUAGAUUAUGGCUCUAUGUACCUUUUCUUAUUUUCCAAUUCCUAUUCAACUUAAUAUAUUAUUUUCUACUGCAUUCAUCUCAGAAACUACACGAGACGAUAACAUGAUCCCCAUUGAAUAUCUAUAUCAUUAAGUAUUAUUCAAGGAUCAUUAGGCAACUUACAAAUGGUAACCAGUUCUUUAUGCAUGAGUGUCUACAAUAUUUUCCAAGCCCUUGACUGCAGAAUGUUUGGGCUUCAUCACACACAUUACAACUUUAACAGUUCUUUUGCUUAGAUGCAACCAAACUUUUCCAACUAGUAAAUUGAUACUAAGUUGCAGGUGAAGCGAGGGUAACCCUGCUACCUCACCUUGGCUUAUCUUGAGCUAACUUCACACUAACUUGUUGAGCGGUUCACACCUCCUGGUGAGGCAGUGCUGGAGAUGUUGACACUGCCCAGCAUCUCCAUGGACUUUUGUUGAGGCCAGUGGCAGGCCUCAGACUACCUAAGGCUCCUACAGCCCUUACUACCACCCAAGGGGGCAUGGACCUAAGGGCAAGGGGCGGGAGCAGCGGAGGAGAGGGACCAGACACAUCCAAACCACCACAGUCCACACAAACUCACAUCCCAUGUCUGGCAGAUGCCUUUCUCCUAAAAUAGAACAUAUAUGUUCAAAACUGCCCUCAAUACUUCCCAAAAUUGUGGAGUCAGGACAUCCACCAAUAGCUGCCUACUGAUGCUUGUUGUUGACACUGCCAAUAGUCAUUAACACCUGUUCAAAAGUUCCUUGUAUAUCAAUGCUCAAGUAGUGUCACAUUAGAUGUGUCCUGUCAGACACAAUUAUUUACACUGUUUUAGUUAAGGUACUUAUGAAAUGUUAGGCUUAGUUCAUUUUCUGAUAUUCCUUCUCAAGAAGAUGGAAAAGAGUGCCAUCAAAUGUCUUGUUUGGAUGGUAUUAUGAUCUCAUGUAAUGAACAGAUUAUGUAAUCUGAGUGAGAAAAUUACAUGUUUGAUGACUGUUUUUGUUAUUUUUCUAGAUCUUGUUUGUUUACUUUGUGUGUUUAGUCUUGAACUGCUGCCUUACUUAAUUUUUUGACUGACUCAUUAACUGAAUGUUAGACAGCUUUAGUUUUGUCAGACACUAAACCUGACAUGGCUUUAACAUGAUCUUGUUCAAUUCCUGAGUUAUCACUCUUGUCUUUCAUACCUCAGUCAUUUAUGUGCUAACCUGUCAAUAAAUACUGAAUGCGCUGAA